This 3387-nucleotide long non-coding RNA is filed under the name Chinchilla lanigera (long-tailed chinchilla). RNAcentral describes it as "lncRNA (ENSCLAG00000025588.1)". Lineage: Eukaryota; Metazoa; Chordata; Mammalia; Rodentia; Chinchillidae. The record is from RNAcentral.
AAAGAAUAUUAGGAAAUAAUUCUGCACUACACUAUUGCCCCAUUUUUUCCAUAUUUCUCUCAAAUGCAAGAACACUGGACAAACAACUGGUGCUGGCUACAUAUGGAUGCAAUCUGGGUUUCAGAAUACAUAAUGACACAAAGCAGAGGUGUAAUCUAUUCCAAAUGGGCCAUCAUCUGGAUAUUGGAAAUGCCAUGCCAUAAACACUGUUCCCUUGUCUUAUAGGAUGUUAUAUAGGGUUGAAUGCAGAUGAAAGCCUAAAUUUAUAUCAUGCACCAAAGCAUAAAAUGAAUGUUAACCUUCUAAGUGCUCCUUUUUUCAUUGUCAGAUUCUGUUAACUGCCUGUCUUCUAAUGGCAGUGCCACUAACAUCUUUAAUGCUUUGGCUAUUUGAGGACCCUUGUCAUUUCUCUCCGUCAACAAAAAAGUGGGUGUGAAACUUAAAAUUCAAAGGAACUUUAGGAAUCCUUUAGUUCACGCAACCUCACUUCAUAAAGAAGUAGGGAAAGGGGAAGGUAUAACCUCAUGGAUCCUAGUAAGGGGUAGAUGAGCCAGGAAUUGACUCUGUUGACUUCUAAGAUAGGCUAACUUGUAUGCUGCUGUCUUGAUUUUCAGAAAAUACCUUUUUUGACUUAUCCUGAGUCUCUUCCUUGCGGAGAACUGGUUGCGUCAACAUGUCUUCGUAACCAGAGUGAGAAAUUCAGUGGGACAACAAGAUCUUAUUUUGAGUAUGCUGUUUAGCAAAAACUCCUUCAGUGAAAUUCCUGAAUUGCCUUUCACUACAUUUGGGUUCAAGAUGUGGAAGAAAGUUCCCAAAGGAGCCCAUGCACUUGUAGCCCCUACCUGGACCCCCAGGAAGUGGAAGGUGCCCACCAACUCACAGGACGGAGGAGGAUAGUCAGAUGAGACUGACCCUGAAGCGAUUAAAUGGCAAUUUUCAGAGGAAAAAAAUUGAGAAAAUCUUGAAAGAUUUUCUCCAUUUGGAGCAUUUUUUAUUUUGUGGAAAGAAGAAGGCAAAAGUCCAAAUCCUGGGCAACCAGAUUCCAAGCCACAUCCUGAUAUCCACGCAGGGAGGUAAAACCCAGAAGCAAAACAGAGAUUUACCUUCUAAGCGAUGCAAAGCAGGAGGCAGUGUACUGCUUGCAAAAAUCCAUAUGACAAUCACCGUGCAAGUACUUUGUCUAUACAACAGGCCAGCAUAAUUCAAGGGAAGUUUGCCCUAACAGUGGUUACAAAGCAGACUGGAGGAGCCACCAUGCUGCAGCUGACACACUGCAGACCCGAGGUACAGGCAGAGGUACAGGCAGACCCGAGUUCAGUCUUGCUACUCUGUGCAUGUGAGUCAAACCAGGAGUUUGCAGAGUUUGAUUAAAAUAUGGUUUUAAAGAUCUUGGCUCAACCUCUAACACAUAGUAAGCACUUGCUAUAUGGAAGCUGCUCUACCAUUUCACUUUAUCAUGAUAGAUGGGCAGACUAGGCCAAGUUCUCAAAGGCUGGACCACCUGUGAAAUGUAGAGACAUCCAUAGAUUUGUUUUUCCCUAAACAAAGUCUAUGACAUUCCCAGUGGCAUGGCACCAGCAUUCCUCUCCAUUGAAUGAACUGCUAAAUGACCAAGCUAGCACCUAGAAGAGGCAGAGCCCAGCAAUCUGUCAGAUGAUACAGCAGUGAUCCCACCACAGGGUUUGGCACAGUAGAAGAGUCUCCCUGCAGGGGACCUGGAGGACACCAGGGAGUAAGCAAAGCUCUAUAUGCUGUGGUGCCUGGAGUGGGGAAAAAAAGACAGAAUCCUGACCUUGAGCUCAUGCUGUGACAUCCAGCAAGAUCAUUCAGAUCCUCUCAAGGCAUCCUCCUGGAAACAGUUAUUUUCUUUUGCUUUUGCUUUUAAUUCUGUAACAAAAGAGUGAUAGUCGUAAGUCAUCAGCCAAACCCCAAAUGAGGAAUGGGCAAGGGAAGAAGAUGACCCAUGUCUUUCUGUUUACCCAGAGACGUUCCUCUUCAUUCUGAAGUUGGUAAGGAACAAUGUGGAGCUGUGACCUAUUGCCUACCACAUCCCUGUGCAUAGAUCCCCUGGGUAAAGAUGCAUAUAUUUGCUCAAAGGAAGCAUUUGAGGGCCCAGGGAGCAGGGCACAAUGUGUGGUGAGUACAGCAAAGUUUAAACUUCACUGGUUCUUCUGUUCCUUAGAUAUUUUACUAAUCCUGCUGUCAUAGUAUUGUUGAACAAUCAACCUGGGACAGUAUUGAGAGAAAUUGUGAAAGAGCACCGCCUAAUAAUUGCAGUGUGACAAUGAAUGAGUUUAGGUUGAGUAUCCCAGACAAACCAGGUGGAUGGCCACUGUGAUGGGCUACCUUAUUUCUUCUACCUUCCAAAUCCAUGUACAGCAGCCCUAACUCCCAGUGCAUAAUAAUAUGUCUAUAUUUGGCAAUACAAUCUGUAAAGAGGUGAUGAAGUUAAAAUGAGCUCCUUGAAAUGGGUCUUAAUUCAAUCUGACUGGCUCCCCAUCAGAAGAGGAAACUGGCUCCCCAUCCCACACAGCUACACCAGGGAUCUACACACAGAGCGAAGGCCAUGUGAGGGUCCAAGGAGAAGGUGAGCAUCCGUGAGUGAAGGAGAGGCCUCGAUCUCCAACACCUUGAUCUUGGACUCCUUAGCCUAGCAGACUAAUAUGGCCUCCUAUCUUCCUCAUCUGUAGAAAUGAACAGAAUAACGCCUAGUACUCUGGAUUAAAUUGGGUGACAUAAAGGAUGCUUACCUCAUUGUUGGCACUAUAAUGCAGUGUGCAUACACCUUGACAGAUAUAAGUCUAUUCAAGCUCAUAUUCUGAAAUUUCCUGGCUUUACCAUUCUGGGCAGUGCACUGGAAUCCUAAUCACACAGACAUUAAAUAGCCAUCAGGCCCAUAGACUCUUGAAAAUGAUAACAUCUAGGACUUUUUCACUUGGAACUUUGGGAAGAAAAAGGUGUGACUUAGGAAUGACCAAACCCAAACUCUAGGAUGUGAAUUACAUAAUGCAACUUAUUAUAAAAUAGCUAAGUUAAGUGUAACUGCAGACACUGAACAUUUAGUCAUGUGCAAUGGCUUCUGAUGAGAUUUCCAAGUCCAGGCUGCAGAGCUCCCUACAGUGCAGCACUGCGUUUGGGUGAGGCUCCUCUGCAUGGCUCCCUGCUUGCAUUGCCCACACCCCCCUGACCCUCUUCAGGGUACAUCUUGCUGUUGCUACUCCCUGGUGCAUGUGUGGGGUCUUACUUUUUUUGUAUAAUGACUCUCCUGAUUCUUUACGGCAUUUUCAGGCUCUGGCUCCCUAGUUCCUUCCGUGAUGUAGCUCAGUGGAUUUCCAAGCUGGCCUGAGUCUUACAGAUGUGCUGCUAGUGUGGAAGCUCUGUGCCAAG